Molecule: long non-coding RNA, 228 nt
Filed under: Homo sapiens (human)
Lineage: Eukaryota; Metazoa; Chordata; Mammalia; Primates; Hominidae
Description: non-protein coding lnc-ACMSD-2:1
Source: RNAcentral
GUGGUAUGCAUUCCUUGUACUGUCAUUUCAACUCACUCCUGGAUCUACAAAAAAUUCCUGGAGUCAUACAUGUACCCUCUGAUUUCUCUUUCUGUUAGUCAUAUAUGGCCUAGAAAAGCUGUAUAAGAAGCCAAUGAUAAAAAUAAAGGCCAAGUAGACUGUAAAGGUUUAGACAUAAAUGGAUUACCAACAAAAGGACCAACAAAAAUCUCUGAUAAGAAGAAAAAC